GUCUUCAUAGUGUAGUGGUCAUCACGCUUUCUUCACACGGAAGAGGUCCGCGGUUCGACCCCGCGUGAGGACA
This 73-nucleotide transfer RNA is filed under the name Kwoniella pini CBS 10737. RNAcentral's name for it is "tRNA-Val (CAC) (tRNA-Val-CAC-1-1)". It matches the Rfam family "tRNA". From Rfam's summary of the family: Transfer RNA (tRNA) molecules are approximately 80 nucleotides in length. Their secondary structure includes four short double-helical elements and three loops (D, anti-codon, and T loops). Further hydrogen bonds mediate the characteristic L-shaped molecular structure. tRNAs have two regions of fundamental functional importance: the anti-codon, which is responsible for specific mRNA codon recognition, and the 3' end, to which the tRNAs corresponding amino acid is attached (by aminoacyl-tRNA synthetases). tRNAs cope with the degeneracy of the genetic code in two manners: having more than one tRNA (with a specific anti-codon) for a particular amino acid; and 'wobble' base-pairing, i.e. permitting non-standard base-pairing at the 3rd anti-codon position. Lineage: Eukaryota; Fungi; Basidiomycota; Tremellomycetes; Tremellales; Cryptococcaceae. The record is from RNAcentral.